AAAUAAUUUUUAUCUCUUUUUUUUGGAGAGAUGGCCGAGAGGAUUAAAGCGUCGGAUUGC
Molecule: transfer RNA, 60 nt
Filed under: Danaea wendlandii
Lineage: Eukaryota; Viridiplantae; Streptophyta; Polypodiopsida; Marattiales; Marattiaceae
Description: partial tRNA-Ser
Source: RNAcentral